Molecule: ribosomal RNA, 274 nt
Filed under: uncultured bacterium
Lineage: Bacteria
Description: partial 16S ribosomal RNA
Rfam family: Bacterial small subunit ribosomal RNA
Source: RNAcentral
AUACGGAGGGGGUUAGCGUUGUGCGGAAUUACUGGGCGUAAAGCGCACGUAGGCGGACUGGAAAGUUGGGGGUGAAAUCCCGGGGCUCAACCCCGGAACUGCCUCCAAAACUUCCAAUCUAGAGAUCGAGAGAGGUGAGUGGAAUUCCAAGUGUAGAGGUGAAAUUCGUAGAUAUUUGGAGGAACACCAGUGGCGAAGGCGGCUCACUGGCUCGAUACUGACGCUGAGGUGCGAAAGCGUGGGGAGCAAACAGGAUUAGAAACCCUAGUAGUCC